This 252-nucleotide ribosomal RNA is filed under the name uncultured Allobaculum sp. RNAcentral's name for it is "partial 16S ribosomal RNA". It matches the Rfam family "Bacterial small subunit ribosomal RNA", at positions 524 to 776 of the family's 1533-position model. The record is from RNAcentral. Lineage: Bacteria; Bacillati; Bacillota; Erysipelotrichia; Erysipelotrichales; Erysipelotrichaceae.
UACGUAGGUGGCGAGCGUUAUCCGGAAUGAUUGGGCGUAAAGGGUGCGUAGGCGGCCUGCUAAGUCUGGAGUGAAAGGUACCGGCUCAACCGGUACAGGCUCUGGAAACUGGCGGGCUAGAGAGCAGGAGAGGGCGGUGGAACUCCAUGUGUAGCGGUAAAAUGCGUAGAUAUCUGGAGGAACAUCAGUGGCGAAGGCGGCCACCUGGACCGGUAUUGACGCUGAGGCGCGAAAGCGUGGGGAGCAAACAGG